CCCUUUCCUCUCCCUCUUUCAGCAUGAUGAAACCCUUGCGCUUGCCCCUACUGUGAGGAACCAGCUAUGGACAAGUGAUGUGAGCUUGACUUUCCACAAAGGCAAUCAGGGGAGCCACAUUACAGCAGGACCUGCAAAGAUUCGUGUUUCUGUCUGGUGGCUGCAAGUGCAUUAACUCUUUCAUGUGAACUUCUCUGCAAGUGCCAUGAUUUCUUUUAUGCUGAGUUCAGUGGAACCCCAGAAAAUAAUACUAAGUCCAAGCACAAAGGGUUAACAACGUGCUGAGCUAGAGAUUGCUGCACUUCAGAAGCAAGUGAAUCUGCUGCGUGUUUGAAGCAACCAGCACAGGAAAACACUAAAUCCUCUGGAAAUAAGGUACAAAUUUUGUCAGAUAUUUUUGGCACGCUGCAUAAAAACUUUAAAGUGACAUUGGUGGCAUCCAAGUUAGCAAACACAUCUCCCAAAAAGCAGAUUUUUGUGUGAGGCUCCUCAGGUUGCAUUAACAAAAGGGAAAGGCAUCAAUACAUAUGUAAAUGUGACUCGGGUUUAGAAAAGCUGCUCUUGGUUUUACUGUCACCAUGCUAAAAGACAUUGUAAACUACAACAGACCCAUUUCCUACUGGUUGGCUUCCUUCUGUCACCAGAGCAAGUGGAGCAUGUGGCCCGCCAGAGGAUGAGAGCAAUGAAAUGAGGGCUGCUGUUAAUCAUUUACAGAAGGUCUUGUCCCAAGCUGAGGAGGUGCUCAGAGAUGAAACUCGUUGGAGAGAUUUUCCUGGACUUUGGAAAUCUCAAUGAUUGUUUAAACAUUUAUUAUGGAUUGCUAUGGUGCUCAAAGCAUACUUUGGGUUUUGGAUUAGGGAGCAAGCAUUAACACGAGGCUCUAAUUGAGGAACCCUGAGUCAGUUAUCGGAGCCUGUGAGGCCCAUUACCACAUUUUUCUCCAUCUGUAGUAAAUCCUGCAGGUCUCCUAGCAUUAUCAUUUUUAGUUAUUUGCUCUUAAAGAUGAGAACUGAUUCAAAAUGUUCACAAAGUCUGAGAUUAUAUGUGUAAAAAAAGAGCAGGCAAGUAACAUUUUCACUGAGCAGCAGUCCUUGAA
Pogoniulus pusillus (Red-fronted tinkerbird) is the source of this 1096-nucleotide long non-coding RNA. RefSeq lists it as uncharacterized. NCBI's taxonomy places the organism in Eukaryota, Metazoa, Chordata, Aves, Piciformes, Lybiidae. The transcript has 3 exons. The record is from RefSeq and is a predicted model, not a curated record.